GCCUGGGUGGCUCAGUCAGUCGAGCGUCUGACUUCGACUCAGGUCAUGACCUUGCAGUUCGUGAGUUCUAGCCCCACGUCGGGCU
This 85-nucleotide transfer RNA is filed under the name Felis catus (domestic cat). It matches the Rfam family "tRNA". From Rfam's summary of the family: Transfer RNA (tRNA) molecules are approximately 80 nucleotides in length. Their secondary structure includes four short double-helical elements and three loops (D, anti-codon, and T loops). The record is from Rfam by way of RNAcentral. Lineage: Eukaryota; Metazoa; Chordata; Mammalia; Carnivora; Felidae.